CACAAAUCUCUCUCUCUCUCUCUCUCUCUCUCUCUCUCUCUCUCUCUCUCUCUCUCUCUCUCUCCUUAUCCAAAUACGUAUGCUUCCAUUUCAAGUCUCUGCUUGAGGGUUUUUAAUUUGUCUUUGCCUAGUCUUUGGGGUAUGCUUUCUUUAAGGAAGUAAUGGUUGUUAAGUCAUAUAUAUAGAGAUAGAUAGAUAGAUA
RNAcentral lists this long non-coding RNA (202 nucleotides) under Actinidia chinensis (golden kiwifruit). RNAcentral's name for it is "long non-coding RNA (ACHI_LNC007234)". Lineage: Eukaryota; Viridiplantae; Streptophyta; Magnoliopsida; Ericales; Actinidiaceae. The record is from RNAcentral.